RNAcentral lists this ribosomal RNA (207 nucleotides) under uncultured bacterium. Its description in RNAcentral is "partial 16S ribosomal RNA". It matches the Rfam family "Bacterial small subunit ribosomal RNA", at positions 568 to 774 of the family's 1533-position model. The record is from RNAcentral.
CGCGUAGGCGGUUAUUUAAGUGAGAUGUGAAAUCCCUGGGCUUAACCUAGGAACUGCAUCUCAUACUGAAUAGCUAGAGUAUUGUAGAGGGUAGUGGAAUUUCCGGUGUAGCGGUGAAAUGCGUAGAGAUCGGAAGGAACACCAGUGGCGAAGGCGGCUACCUGGACAAAUACUGACGCUGAGGCGCGAAAGCGUGGGGAGCAAACA